RNAcentral lists this long non-coding RNA (222 nucleotides) under Ananas comosus (pineapple). RNAcentral describes it as "long non-coding RNA (ACOM_LNC005892)". Lineage: Eukaryota; Viridiplantae; Streptophyta; Magnoliopsida; Poales; Bromeliaceae. The record is from RNAcentral.
AAUCUUUAUCAAAUACUUAAGAUAACAAAUUAGUUAACUUCCUGAUUUCAGCUCACACAAAACAUUACAAAACAAAAUCAAUAUAAUAAUCGAAACAAAUCUAUAAACUCAUCAGUACUCCAAUUUUUACAUUGCUCAUAAGUUAAUUUUUUUCUUUGAAAGAUAACAAAGUAACAUAAAAGUAAGCAAGAGGAAGAUCUCCUGCUUGUCUCAAGCAAUACA